CCUGUGGCUGGGGGUGAAAGGCCAAUCAAACCGGGAGAUAGCUGGUUCUCCCCGAAAGCUAUUUAGGUAGCGCCUCGUGAAUUCAUCUCCGGGGGUAGAGCACUGUUUCGGCUAGGGGGCCAUCCCGGCUUACCAACCCGAUGCAAACUGCGAAUACCGGAGAAUGUUAUCACGGGAGACACACGGCGGGUGCUAACGUCCGUCGUGAAGAGGGAAACAACCCAGACCGCCAGCUAAGGUCCCAAAGUCAUGGUUAAGUGGGAAACGAUGUGGGAAGGCCCAGACAGCCAGGAUGUUGGCUUAGAAGCAGCCAUCAUUUAAAGAAAGCGUAAUAGCUCACUGGUCGAGUCGGCCUGCGCGGAAGAUGUAACGGGGCUAAACCAUGCACCGAAGCUGCGGCAGCGA
Molecule: ribosomal RNA, 405 nt
Filed under: Salmonella enterica subsp. enterica serovar Kentucky str. 13562
Lineage: Bacteria; Pseudomonadati; Pseudomonadota; Gammaproteobacteria; Enterobacterales; Enterobacteriaceae
Also listed under: 1 other name
Description: bacterial LSU rRNA
Rfam family: Bacterial large subunit ribosomal RNA
Source: RNAcentral